This 253-nucleotide ribosomal RNA is filed under the name uncultured bacterium. Its description in RNAcentral is "partial 16S ribosomal RNA". It matches the Rfam family "Bacterial small subunit ribosomal RNA", at positions 524 to 776 of the family's 1533-position model. The record is from RNAcentral.
GACGAACCGUGCGAACGUUGUUCGGAUUCACUGGGCUUAAAGGGCGCGUAGGCGGCUUGCCAAGUCAGGGGUGAAAUCUUUCGGCUCAACCGGAAAAGUGCCCCUGAUACUGAUUGUCUCGAGGGAGGUAGGGGCAUGUGGAACUUCCGGUGGAGCGGUGAAAUGCGUAGAUAUCGGAAGGAACGCCGGUGGCGAAAGCGACGUGCUGGAUCUCUUCUGACGCUGAGGCGCGAAAGCCAGGGGAGCGAACGGG